This 70-nucleotide transfer RNA is filed under the name Ailuropoda melanoleuca (giant panda). It matches the Rfam family "tRNA". From Rfam's summary of the family: Transfer RNA (tRNA) molecules are approximately 80 nucleotides in length. The record is from Rfam by way of RNAcentral. Lineage: Eukaryota; Metazoa; Chordata; Mammalia; Carnivora; Ursidae.
GCUCAGUCGGUUGAGUGUCUGACUCUUGAUUUCAGUUCUGGUGGUGUGGGAUCGAGCCCCACACUGGGCU